GACCAUGCUGCUCUGACGAGCGGCCAUCUUCCUUAAUUCGCUGACUAAGCGUGGAGAAAUGAAAUGCGACAUCCUUUAGUGAUGGGUAACUGGAAACUGAACGGCAGCCGCCACAUGGUAAACGAACUGGUGGCUAACCUGCGUAAAGAACUGACGGGCGUAGCAGGCUGCGACGUGGCAAUCGCUCCGCCGGAAAUGUAUAUCGAUCUGGCGAAACGCGCUGCUGCCGGCAGCCACAUCAUGCUGGGCGCGCAGAACGUUGAUCUGAAUCUGUCUGGCGCAUUCACCGGUGAAACUUCGGCUGAAAUGCUGAAGGAUAUCGGCGCGCAGUACAUUAUUAUCGGCCACUCCGAGCGUCGUACUUAUCACAAAGAAUCUGACGAGCUGAUCGCCAAAAAAUUCGCCGUACUGAAA
Molecule: unclassified non-coding RNA, 414 nt
Filed under: uncultured fungus
Lineage: Eukaryota; Fungi
Description: partial internal transcribed spacer 1
Source: RNAcentral